GUCAGGAUGGCUGAGCAGCCUAAGGUGCUGGGUUCAGAUUGCAGUCUCCCCUAGAGGCACAGGUUCAAAUCCCAUUUCUGACA
This 83-nucleotide transfer RNA is filed under the name Ophiophagus hannah (king cobra). It matches the Rfam family "tRNA". From Rfam's summary of the family: Transfer RNA (tRNA) molecules are approximately 80 nucleotides in length. Lineage: Eukaryota; Metazoa; Chordata; Lepidosauria; Squamata; Elapidae. The record is from Rfam by way of RNAcentral.